AUUGAACGCUGGCGGCAGGCCUAACACAUGCAAGUCGAGCGGUAGAGAGGUGCUUGCAUCUCUUGAGAGCGGCGGACGGGUGAGUAAUGCCUAGGAAUCUGCCUAGUGGUGGGGAAUAACGUUCGGAAACGGACGCUAAUACCGCAUACGUCCUACGGGAGAAAGCGGGGGAUCUUCGGACCUCGCGCCAUUAGAUGAGCCUAGGUCGGAUUAGCUAGUUGGUGAGGUAAUGGCUCACCAAGGCGACGAUCCGUAACUGGUCUGAGAGGAUGAUCAGUCACACUGGAACUGAGACACGGUCCAGACUCCUACGGGAGGCAGCAGUGGGGAAUAUUGGACAAUGGGCGAAAGCCUGAUCCAGCCAUGCCGCGUGUGUGAAGAAGGUCUUCGGAUUGUAAAGCACUUUAAGUUGGGAGGAAGGGUAGUAACCUAAUACGUUGCUACUUUGACGUUACCGACAG
RNAcentral lists this ribosomal RNA (461 nucleotides) under uncultured bacterium. Its description in RNAcentral is "bacterial SSU rRNA". It matches the Rfam family "Bacterial small subunit ribosomal RNA", at positions 30 to 484 of the family's 1533-position model. The record is from RNAcentral.